RNAcentral lists this ribosomal RNA (497 nucleotides) under uncultured bacterium. RNAcentral describes it as "partial 16S ribosomal RNA". It matches the Rfam family "Bacterial small subunit ribosomal RNA", at positions 28 to 507 of the family's 1533-position model. The record is from RNAcentral.
GACGAACGCUGGCGGCGUGCCUAAUACAUGCAAGUUGAGCGAUGAAGAUUGGUGCUUGCACCAAUUUGAAGAGCAGCGAACGGGUGAGUAACGCGUGGGGAAUCUGCCUUUGAGCGGGGGACAACAUUUGGAAACGAAUGCUAAUACCGCAUAAUAACUUUAAACAUAAGUUUUAAGUUUGAAAGAUGCAAUUGCAUCACUCAAAGAUGAUCCCGCGUUGUAUUAGCUAGUUGGUGAGGUAAAGGCUCACCAAGGCGAUGAUACAUAGCCGACCUGAGAGGGUGAUCGGCCACAUUGGGACUGAGACACGGCCCAAACUCCUACGGGAGGCAGCAGUAGGGAAUCUUCGGCAAUGGACGAAAGUCUGACCGAGCAACGCCGCGUGAGUGAAGAAGGUUUUCGGAUCGUAAAGCUCUGUUGGUAGAGAAGAACGUUGGUGAGAGUGGAAAGCUCAUCAAGUGACGGUAACUACCCAGAAAGGGACGGCUAACUACGUG